Molecule: ribosomal RNA, 397 nt
Filed under: uncultured bacterium
Lineage: Bacteria
Description: partial 16S ribosomal RNA
Rfam family: Bacterial small subunit ribosomal RNA
Source: RNAcentral
AUACGUAGGGGGCGAGCGUUGUCCGGAAUGAUUGGGCGUAAAGGGCGCGUAGGCGGCGCGGUAAGUCUGGAGUGAAAGUCCUGCUUUUAAGGUGGGAAUUGCUUUGGAUACUGCCGCGCUUGAGUGCAGGAGAGGUUAUCGGAAUUCCCAGUGUAGCGGUGAAAUGCGUAGAGAUUGGGAGGAACACCAGUGGCGAAGGCGACUUACUGGGCCGUAACUGACGCUGAGGCGCGAAAGCGUGGGGAGCGAACAGGAUUAGAUACCCUGGUAGUCCACGCGGUAAACGAUGAAUGCUAGGUGUUGCGGGUAUCGACCCCUGCAGUGCCGGAGUCAACACAAUAAGCAUUCCGCCUGGGGAGUACGGCCGCAAGGUUGAAACUCAAAUGAAUUGACGGGG